CCUACGGGGUGCAGCAGUGGGGAAUAUUGCGCAAUGGGCGAAAGCCUGACGCAGCGACGCCGCGUGAGGGAUGAAGGUCUUCGGAUCGUAAACCUCUGUCAGCAGGGAAGAACGGUCACUGUGCUAAUCAGCAGUGAAUUGACGGUACCUGCAAAGGAAGCACCGGCUAACUCCGUGCCAGCAGCCGCGGUAAUACGGAGGGUGCGAGCGUUAAUCGGAAUUACUGGGCGUAAAGCGCUCGUAGGCGGUAUGUCAAGUCAAGGGGGAAAUCCCCGCGCUCAACGUGGGAACUGCCUUUGAAACUGGCAAACUGGAGUGUGUGAGAGGAUAGUGGAAUUCCAGGUGUAGGAGUGAAAUCCGUAGAGAUCUGGAGGAACAUCAGUGGCGAAGGCGACUAUCUGGCACAUAACUGACGCUGAGGAGCGAAAGCGUGGGUAGCAAACAGGAUUAGAUACCCCUGUAGUC
RNAcentral lists this ribosomal RNA (465 nucleotides) under uncultured bacterium. Its description in RNAcentral is "partial 16S ribosomal RNA". It matches the Rfam family "Bacterial small subunit ribosomal RNA", at positions 338 to 795 of the family's 1533-position model. The record is from RNAcentral.